AGGUAUCUGAGUAUAUGGGGAUGAUUGUCCGACAUUCAACGUCACAGAGGCGAGAAAAGCAAAAGGGGAAACAUUUUCCCCUUUUUUAAUAGAA
Molecule: non-coding RNA, 94 nt
Organism: Pantoea vagans C9-1
Lineage: Bacteria; Pseudomonadati; Pseudomonadota; Gammaproteobacteria; Enterobacterales; Erwiniaceae
Source: Rfam